RNAcentral lists this ribosomal RNA (497 nucleotides) under uncultured bacterium. RNAcentral's name for it is "partial 16S ribosomal RNA". It matches the Rfam family "Bacterial small subunit ribosomal RNA", at positions 28 to 507 of the family's 1533-position model. The record is from RNAcentral.
GAUGAACGCUGGCGGCGUGCCUAAUACAUGCAAGUCGAGCGAACAGAUGAGGAGCUUGCUCCUCUGACGUUAGCGGCGGACGGGUGAGUAACACGUGGAUAACCUACCUAUAAGACUGGGAUAACUUCGGGAAACCGGAGCUAAUACCGGAUAAUAUAUUGAACCGCAUGGUUCAAUAGUGAAAGACGGUUUUGCUGUCACUUAUAGAUGGAUCCGCGCCGCAUUAGCUAGUUGGUAAGGUAACGGCUUACCAAGGCAACGAUGCGUAGCCGACCUGGGAGGGGGAUCGGCCACACUGGAACUGAGACACGGUCCAGACGCCUGCGGGAGGCAGCAGUAGGGAAUCUUCCGCAAUGGGCGAAAGCCUGACGGAGCAACGCCGCGUGAGUGAUGAAGGUCUUCGGAUCGUAAAACUCUGUUAUUAGGGAAGAACAAAUGUGUAAGUAACUAUGCACUUCUUGACGGUACCUAAUCAGAAAGCCACGGCUAACUACGUG